AUUCCAGCUCCAAUAGCGUAUAUUAAAGUUGUUGCAGUUAAAAAGCUCGUAGUUGGAGUUCAGGGUGAGCUCAGCUGGUCGGCCUAAUGGGUCAGAACUGGUUGACUCUCCCUUGGUUGUGGAUCCCUCCGGAGUUAAUUCUUCGGGUGUGGAGUCCACAUCGUUUACCUUGAAAAAAUUAGAGUGUUCAAAGCAGGCGUUUGCUUGAAUAUAUUAGCAUGGAAUAAUGGAAUAGGACGCUGGUUCUAUUUUGUUGGUUUUGAGAACCAGAGUAAUGAUUAAUAGGGACAGUUGGGGGCAUUCAUAUUUCAUUGUCAGAGGUGAAAUUCUUGGAUUUAUGAAAGAUGAACUUCUGCGAAAGCAUUUGCCAAGGAUGUUUUCAUCA
This 385-nucleotide ribosomal RNA is filed under the name Telonemia sp. RNAcentral's name for it is "partial small subunit ribosomal RNA". It matches the Rfam family "Eukaryotic small subunit ribosomal RNA", at positions 582 to 975 of the family's 1831-position model. The record is from RNAcentral. Lineage: Eukaryota; Telonemia.